UACGUAGGGGGCAAGCGUUAUCCGGAUUUACUGGGUGUAAAGGGAGCGUAGACGGCAAGGCAAGUCUGAUGUGAAAGGUGUGGGCUCAACUCACAAACUGCAUUGGAAACUGUUCUGCUAGAGUGCAGGAGAGGUAAGCGGAAUUCCUAGUGUAGCGGUGAAAUGCAUAGAUAUUAGGAGGAACACCGGCGGCGAAGGCGGCUUACUGGACUGUAACUGACGUUGAGGCUCGAAAGCGUGGGUAG
Molecule: ribosomal RNA, 245 nt
Filed under: uncultured Lachnospiraceae bacterium
Lineage: Bacteria; Bacillati; Bacillota; Clostridia; Lachnospirales; Lachnospiraceae
Description: partial 16S ribosomal RNA
Rfam family: Bacterial small subunit ribosomal RNA
Source: RNAcentral